This 3643-nucleotide unclassified non-coding RNA is filed under the name Hevea brasiliensis (rubber tree). Lineage: Eukaryota; Viridiplantae; Streptophyta; Magnoliopsida; Malpighiales; Euphorbiaceae. The record is from RNAcentral.
GUAAAUUUCAGAGGCAAUAUUCGAUUGGGAUCAGGUUGUCUAAAUUCAAUGAGACUUUAAAGAUCCUGGGAAUUUGGGUUGUGCCCUCAGAAUCACAGCCAAGGAUUGCAGAUUUGCAGGGCCAGGGUAGAAAGAAAAUCCCAUUUGUAUUUGUAACUUUCGACUCUGAAAAUAAUAUAAAUAAAUCAGAAAAACCAUCAACCACACCCCUUCUUCUCAAGAGGUCAGAUAAGAGGUGAACCUAAUGGUGGGCCCAGAUCUAGUUCAGGGCUUGGGUACCUAGGAAGCCUACCAGUGAAUAGCGAGUGCCAUAGUCACCAGCCAAUGAGCAUAAGUUGAAUUAGGAAUGCAAAUCAGCAUAAGUUAUUAAUGAACCUUAAACAAAUGUAAGAACUAUUAACAAGACCCAAGCACUAACCAUAAUUUCCUUGAGAAAUCAAGUCAUGCAGGAUGAGGUUAGGCCUUUGCUACCUAAAAGCUUUUAAAUCUUCACAAUUCUUUCUGUUUUUUCUAUGUACAAAAUAAACAGGGAAAUCUGGGCCCCAAAUGCAGACUGCAAUGCUCAUGCUGAUAAGUUAAAAGGUAAGGAAUUGCAAGGGGAAGCCAUUUUAAUGGCUAAAUUAGAUCGAUAUCCACCCGUUCUGGAUUUCCUCUUUCAGUCUGGUUGUCCACAAGUUCUAUACCCAGCUGCCCUUUGUCUCCUGCUCCGAAUGCAUACAGUUUUCCAGAUUCAGUAAGUGCAAAUGUGUGAGCAUUCCAGUAUAUGGAAUUGGUGAGGCUGAUCUGUACCACUCGCUCAUUCACUUCUUUCAGUGAUGUUACUAAUUCUGGGCUCAACACAUUAGCAUGCCUAUUUCCCUGUCCAUCAGCAACAGCAGCAGCAGCAGCAUUAUUAUGUCCAAGACUGGCCGAUUCCCCACAACCAAAUGAGUAUACAUCACCCUCAUCAGAAACCACAAAGGUCGUGUAAUCCCCUGUAGCAACAUGAACAGCUUUGACCUUGCUUAAUGCUUCCACAACCUUAGGAACCGACUCGCACUCUUCAUUCCCAUGACCCAAGCACCCAUAACGUCCCCAACCCCAUGUGCAAACCCGUCCAUCUCGCCCUACCACAGCUGCAUGCCAAGCCCCGGCUGCAACCACCAUAGGCUGAAGGUUCAAAAGCUGAAAUUGUUCAACUAAUCGAGGAUACUUCUCAUCAGUUCUUGAUCCGUGCCCCAGCUUCCCACCCAAGCCGCAUCCAACAGAGUACACUGACCUGAUACACAUAAAACAGAAUUGCACAUAUCUUAGAAAUAACAUCCAUUGUUAUCACCGAUUAAUUAAUAAUCAUGGUCAUGAAGCCACAUAAGUUAGUUGCCAGGUGUAAUAAAUUAAAAAACUGUCUCAAGGAUUUUAACUUCAAUAUCACAUUCACCGAUGCCCGACUAAAAUGCAAUUUUUGGAAGAUUUUUUUCCCCAUUUGUUUUUCUUUGGGAUAUCUUCUAAUGUCUAAGGUAAACAGAUGGUGCAACUCACAUGCCACAAGGCUGACAUGCCAGAGCAAGAAGGUAACAGUAUCCAGCUGCAAUUUGUACCACCGGUAUAUUCUCAAGUGCCCCCAACAAAGGAUGAGGUUCCACAUCAUUUGGCUCAGUCUGGUGACCUAGUAUUCCAUCACUGCCCCAAGAAAAUGUGUAAACCCUGCCUUCCCUGGACAAUACAGCAGUGAAGAAAUUUCCUAUUGCAGCUUGGACCACAAAUAUGUUUUUCAAAGAUUCAACCAAUUGUGGAGUCGUAACAAGUUUAGUUCCUUGAACUCCAUAUUCAGAUUCACCGAAGGAGUCUUUUCCAAAGGCAUAAACCUGUCCAGCAUCACUAAUUAGCAUUGUCCUGCCAGGUCCAGCAGCUGCUUGGAUAAUUCGAAUGCCUUGCAGGGAUCUGAUUUGUCGAGGUCGCCAUUCCUCUUCAGUGGUGCCAUGACCAAGUUGUCCUGAGCUAUUAGAGCCAAAGGAGUACACUACGCCCUUAGAUGUCACAGCAAUACUAUGACCAGGUCCUGCUAUCGCCUGGGACUUCUCCCUCCUGCAACAUGCUUCUCCGGCCAGUAAAAAUCUCAGAACUAGUUUCCAUGAGCCCCCACAACUUUGCUUCAAAUCUUGACGUUCUUCUGGAGUCAUAGGCUUAAAUAUGGCUCUCUUUUGGCACAUAUCCAGAGCUGCAAGCUCUGAUAUGGACAAUUCAUAGUCAGGGGCAAAAUUUGCAGGCAGCCUAAAGAAGGAACAUGUUGCCUGUAAUAAACACAUUCAAAAUCAAAUCAGCAGCAUUAUCAAUUCUAACAGCUAAAAAUGGUUUCAUAAUUAAAAAGAAUUGCAAAAGGGAACUUGCCUCCAGUUUUGCAAGAUCUUGAGGAUCCAAAUUACAAUCAGUAAGCACAUGGAGGACAAUGGAUGGAUUAGCAGCCAAGGGGAAUUCUCCAGGAGUGGAGUCCCCAAAACAAUGGCGUUGAUUUCGUUGAAACGUCGAUAUAGGAGCAGCAACAAUGGCAGUAAUGGGCUGGUCGGUUAUGUUAUGAUAUUGUAUACUUGAGGUUCCACUAGUUGUGGCAUCCAUGGGCACUGCUUAAAAUAUUGCAGUGCCCAAACUUGGCAGAAAAGACUAUCUAAGUUGCUGGAUAAUUAAUAGAAAAAAAGACACCAAAAUCACUAAAUUAGUCUCUCCAAUGAUCCAGCAUAUCACCUAUAGUUUAUAAAUUUAUUACUGAUAUUAGUUUUAUAUAGCAAAUUAAAUCUUGGUCCAAAGUAUCUACCUUAAAUAAUGCACUAAUCAGCAAGCUUCAAUUCUCAAACCUACAAGUGAAAAUACGCUCAUAAAAUCUCUUUACAUGGCAGGAAGUUGAAAACAAAUUGAAAUAUCAGAAAAAACUCAAACCAAAUGGUGAAGAACAGACAAAGGGUGCUUUAAGGUAUCAACUGAUGUGUAUAUAAAUAAAAGGGAACACUUUAGCAAACUAAUGAAUUAGAUAAUCUAAUGAAAGAACAAGCAAAAAAGAUAAAACCUAGAGAAGCAAAAAGGGAGACCUGAUGGUCCAAUAUUAAGCCUGUCCAAAGCAAUUUAGACCAUCCAAUUGAAUUGGAGACGAAAUGGCAACCUAUAGAAACACGUAACUGAGAAAUAGUAACAAAACUCGCGGAUAUCAUCGACAGGAUGAAUUGGAAACUUAGAAUAGAAGAGUACUAUUCUUGGAUGAAAGGAUAUUCCGCACCCAAAAGAAACUCAGAAAGCAAAGAAUUCCAACAUCAAAAGAGAAACUUCUGUUCACGUAAACUCAUUAAAACAGCCCCAAAAAAAUUAAUUAAUUAAAGUCUAUUGUCGACCCGAUCAAAUAAUAUCCACACAAUCAAAAUCAGAAUCCAUGGUUUCAAAACCCAGAAACAGGGGAUGUGAUUAUCAACACUCUAUACACAAAGAGAACUAAAAAAUUUUAGCUUUUUUAACAUACCCAGAUCAUAAAAACAUCAUCAGAUAAUAGACUGAGUACACUUGACCAUGCCACCCACAAGAAGCACAAGAGAAUCGCAAGACAAAAAAAAAAGAACACAAAACACAUGCUUUAACAGCUUUGUCAUCUGUACAUUAGGAUCGUUACAGAUCGUGAUAUAAC